Molecule: ribosomal RNA, 467 nt
Filed under: uncultured bacterium
Lineage: Bacteria
Description: partial 16S ribosomal RNA
Rfam family: Bacterial small subunit ribosomal RNA
Source: RNAcentral
GACGAACGCUGGCGGCGUGCUUAACACAUGCAAGUCGAACGGAAAGGCCCUGCUUUUGUGGGGUGCUCGAGUGGCGAACGGGUGAGUAACACGUGAGUAACCUGCCCUUGACUUUGGGAUAACUUCAGGAAACUGGGGCUAAUACCGGAUAGGAGCUCCUGCUGCAUGGUGGGGGUUGGAAAGUUUCGGCGGUUGGGGAUGGACUCGCGGCUUAUCAGCUUGUUGGUGGGGUAGUGGCUUACCAAGGCUUUGACGGGUAGCCGGCCUGAGAGGGUGACCGGCCACAUUGGGACUGAGAUACGGCCCAGACUCCUACGGAGGCAGCAGUGGGGAAUAUUGCACAAUGGGCGGAAGCCUAAUGCAGCAACGCCGCGUGCGGGAUGACGGCCUUCGGGUUGUAAACCGCUUUCGCCUGUGACGAAGCGUGAGUGACGGUAAUGGGUAAAGAAGCACCGGCUAACUACGUG